GAUGAACGCUGGCGGCGUGCCUAAUACAUGCAAGUCGAGCGAACAGAUAAGGAGCUUGCUCCUUUGAAGUUAGCGGCGGACGGGUGAGUAACACGUGGGUAACCUACCUAUAAGACUGGGAUAACUUCGGGAAACCGGAGCUAAUACCGGAUAACAUUUAGAACCGCAUGGUUCUAAAGUGAAAGAUGGUUUUGCUAUCACUUAUAGAUGGACCCGCGCCGUAUUAGCUAGUUGGUAAGGUAACGGCUUACCAAGGCGACGAUACGUAGCCGACCUGAGAGGGUGAUCGGCCACACUGGAACUGAGACACGGUCCAGACUCCUACGGGAGGCAGCAGUAGGGAAUCUUCCGCAAUGGGCGAAAGCCUGACGGAGCAACGCCGCGUGAGUGAUGAAGGGUUUCGGCUCGUAAAACUCUGUUAUUAGGGAAGAACAAAUGUGUAAGUAACUGUGCACAUCUUGACGGUACCUAAUCAGAAAGCCACGGCUAACUACGUGCCAGCAGCCGCGGUAAUACGUAGGUGGCAAGCGUUAUCCGGAAUUAUUGGGCGUAAGCGCGCGUAGGCGGUUUCUUAAGUCUGAUGUGAAAGCCCACGGCUCAACCGUGGAGGGUCAUUGGAAACUGGGAAACUUGAGUGCAGAAGAGGAAAGUGGAAUUCCAUGUGUAGCGGUGAAAUGCGCAGAGAUAUGGAGGAACACCAGUGGCGAAGGCGACUUUCUGGUCUGUAACUGACGCUGAUGUGCGAAAGCGUGGGGAUCAAACAGGAUUAGAUACCCUGGUAGUCCACGCCGUAAACGAUGAGUGCUAAGUGUUAGGGGGUUUCCGCCCCUUAGUGCUGCAGCUAACGCAUUAAGCACUCCGCCUGGGGAGUACGACCGCAAGGUUGAAACUCAAAGGAAUUGACGGGGACCCGCACAAGCGGUGGAGCAUGUGGUUUAAUUCGAAGCAACGCGAAGAACCUUACCAAAUCUUGACAUCCUUUGAAAACUCUAGAGAUAGAGCCUUCCCCUUCGGGGGACAAAGUGACAGGUGGUGCAUGGUUGUCGUCAGCUCGUGUCGUGAGAUGUUGGGUUAAGUCCCGCAACGAGCGCAACCCUUAAGCUUAGUUGCCAUCAUUAAGUUGGGCACUCUAGGUUGACUGCCGGUGACAAACCGGAGGAAGGUGGGGAUGACGUCAAAUCAUCAUGCCCCUUAUGAUUUGGGCUACACACGUGCUACAAUGGACAAUACAAAGGGCAGCUAAACCGCGAGGUCAUGCAAAUCCCAUAAAGUUGUUCUCAGUUCGGAUUGUAGUCUGCAACUCGACUACAUGAAGCUGGAAUCGCUAGUAAUCGUAGAUCAGCAUGCUAUGGUGAAUACGUUCCCGGGUCU
Molecule: ribosomal RNA, 1371 nt
Filed under: uncultured bacterium
Lineage: Bacteria
Description: bacterial SSU rRNA
Rfam family: Bacterial small subunit ribosomal RNA
Source: RNAcentral